This 494-nucleotide ribosomal RNA is filed under the name uncultured bacterium. RNAcentral describes it as "bacterial SSU rRNA". It matches the Rfam family "Bacterial small subunit ribosomal RNA", at positions 28 to 511 of the family's 1533-position model. The record is from RNAcentral.
GAUGAACGCUAGCGGCAGGCUUAACACAUGCAAGUCGAGGGGCAGCAUGAUGAAACUUUCGGGUUUCAUUGAUGGCGACCGGCGCAAGGGUGCGUAACGCGUGAGCAACUUGCCCUUAUCAGGGGGAUAACCGGUGGAAACGCCGACUAAUACCCCAUAGCAUCACUUGAAGGCAUCUUUUAGUGAUUAAAGAAUUUCGGAUAAGGAUAGGCUCGCGUGACAUUAGCUAGAUGGCGGGGUAACGGCCCACCAUGGCGACGAUGUCUAGGGGUUCUGAGAGGAAGGUCCCCCACACUGGAACUGAGACACGGUCCAGACUCCUACGGGAGGCAGCAGUGAGGAAUAUUGGUCAAUGGCCGAGAGGCUGAACCAGCCAUGCCGCGUGAAGGUCACGGCCCUAUGGGUCUUAAACUUCUUUUGUAAGGGAGCAAUAAGGUCUACGUGUAGACUGAUGAGAGUACCUUACGAAUAAGCAUCGGCUAACUCCGUGCCAG